RNAcentral lists this ribosomal RNA (429 nucleotides) under uncultured bacterium. Its description in RNAcentral is "bacterial SSU rRNA". It matches the Rfam family "Bacterial small subunit ribosomal RNA", at positions 355 to 776 of the family's 1533-position model. The record is from RNAcentral.
UAGGGAAUAUUGCGCAAUGGGCGAAAGCCUGACGCAGCCAUGCCGCGUGGAUGAUGAAGGCCUUCGGGUCGUAAAGUCCUUUUCUGAGGGAAGAACUGCCGGGGGAGGAAAUGCCCUUGGCUUGACGGUACCUCAGGAAUAAGCAACGGCCAACUCCGUGCCAGCAGCCGCGGUAAUACGGAGGUUGCAAGCGUUGUUCGGAAUGACUGGGCGUAAAGGGAGCGCAGGCGGCCAAGUCAGUCUGAAGUGAAAGCCCGGGGCUUAACCCCGGAAUAGCUUUGGAUACUGCCUGGCUUGAGUGUGCGAUAGGAAAGCGGAAUUCCAGGUGUAGCGGUGAAAUGCGUAGAUAUCUGGAGGAACACCGGUGGCGAAAGCGGCUUUCUGGCGCAUAACUGGCGCUGAGGCUCGAAAGCGUGGGGAGCGAACGGG